UACGUAGGGGGCAAGCGUUAUCCGGAUUUACUGGGUGUAAAGGGAGCGUAGGCGGUGAUGCAAGUCAGAAGUGAAAGCCCGCAGCUCAACUGCGGGACUGCUUUUGAAACUGUAUGACUAGAUUGCAGGAGAGGUAAGUGGAAUUCCUAGUGUAGCGGCGAAAUGCGUAGAUAUUAGGAGGAACACCAGUGGCGAAGGCGGCUUACUGGACUGUAAAUGACGCUGAGGCUCGAAAGCGUGGGGAGCAAACAGG
Molecule: ribosomal RNA, 253 nt
Filed under: uncultured bacterium
Lineage: Bacteria
Description: partial 16S ribosomal RNA
Rfam family: Bacterial small subunit ribosomal RNA
Source: RNAcentral